GAGUGAAGCGGCAACAGCUCAAAUUUGAAAUCUGGCUCUUUCAGGGUCCGAGUUGUAAUUUGUAGAGGGUGCUUUGGAGUUGACUGUGGUCUAAGUUCCUUGGAACAGGACGUCGCAGAGGGUGAGAAUCCCGUAUGUGGCCGCCAGUCUUCGCCGUGUAAAGCCCCUUCGACGAGUCGAGUUGUUUGGGAAUGCAGCUCUAAAUGGGAGGUAAAUUUCUUCUAAAGCUAAAUAUUGGCCAGAGACCGAUAGCGCACAAGUAGAGUGAUCGAAAGAUGAAAAGCACUUUGGAAAGAGAGUCAAAAAGCACGUGAAAUUGUUGAAAGGGAAGCGCUUGCAGCCAGACUUGCCUGUAGUUGCUCAUCCGGGCUCUUGCCCGGUGCACUCUUCUAUAGGCAGGCCAGCAUCAGUCGCGGCGGUCGGAUAAAUGCCUGCGGAAUGUACCUCUCUUCGGGGAGGACUUAUAGCCGCGGGCGGCAUACGACCAGCUGCGAUUGAGGUCCGCGCAUCUGCUAGGAUGCUGGCGUAAUGGCUGUAAGCGGCCCGUCUUGAAACACGGACCAAGGAGUCUAACAUCUAUGCGAGUGUUUGGGUGUCAAGCCCGAGCGCGUAAUGAAAGUGAACGGAGGUGGGAACCCCUCGGGGCGCACCAUCGACCGAUCCUGAUGUCUUCGGAUGGAUUUGAGUAAGAGCAUAGCUGUUGGGACCCGAAAGAUGGUGAACUAUGCCUGAAUAGGGUGAAGCCAGAGGAAACUCUGGUGGAGGCUCGCAGCGGUUCUGACGUGCAAAUCGAUCGUCAAAUUUGGGCAUAGGGGCG
Molecule: ribosomal RNA, 817 nt
Filed under: Preussia australis
Lineage: Eukaryota; Fungi; Ascomycota; Dothideomycetes; Pleosporales; Sporormiaceae
Description: eukaryotic LSU rRNA
Rfam family: Eukaryotic large subunit ribosomal RNA
Source: RNAcentral